Molecule: ribosomal RNA, 107 nt
Filed under: Yersinia ruckeri
Lineage: Bacteria; Pseudomonadati; Pseudomonadota; Gammaproteobacteria; Enterobacterales; Yersiniaceae
Source: RNAcentral
CAUAGCGCGACGGACCCACCUGAACCCAUGCCGAACUCAGAAGUGAAACGUUGUAGCGCCGAUGGUAGUGUGGGGUCUCCCCAUGCGAGAGUAGGACACUGCCAGGC